Molecule: small RNA, 110 nt
Filed under: Karenia brevis
Lineage: Eukaryota; Dinophyceae; Gymnodiniales; Kareniaceae
Description: partial transfer-messenger RNA
Source: RNAcentral
UUGACUGAUGCCACACAGACUUUGACAUCUGCAGGGAUGUACAUCGUAACAGGUGUGAAAUGUGCACCUGGAUUCACAGGACCUCCUGUUGCAACAUGCGCCAGCACAGG